UGGGGAAUAUUGGACAAUGGGCGCAAGCCUGAUCCAGCAAUGCCGCGUGUGUGAAGAAGGCCUUCGGGUUGUAAAGCACUUUUAUCAGGAGCGAAACGCUGUCGGCUAAUACCCGGCGGAACUGACGGUACCUGAGGAAUAAGCACCGGCUAACUUCGUGCCAGCAGCCGCGGUAAUACGAAGGGUGCAAGCGUUAAUCGGAAUUACUGGGCGUAAAGCGUGCGUAGGCGGUUUCUUAAGUCUGCUGUGAAAUCCCCGGGCUCAACCUGGGAAUGGCAGUGGAUACUGGGAGGCUAGAGUGUGUCAGAGGGUGGUGGAAUUCCCGGUGUAGCGGUGAAAUGCGUAGAGAUCGGGAGGAACAUCAGUGGCGAAGGCGGCCACCUGGGACAACACUGACGCUGAGGCACGAAAGCGUGGGGAGCAAACAGGAUUAGAUACCCUGGUAGUCCACGCCCUAAAGCGAUGCGAACUGGAUGUUGGUCUCAAGCUCGGAGAUCAGUGUCGAAGCUAACGCGUUAAGUUUCGCCGCCCCGGGGAGUACGGUCGCAAGACUGAACUCAAAGGAAUUGACGGGGUCAUAGCUGUUUCCUG
Molecule: ribosomal RNA, 591 nt
Filed under: uncultured bacterium
Lineage: Bacteria
Description: partial 16S ribosomal RNA
Rfam family: Bacterial small subunit ribosomal RNA
Source: RNAcentral